Molecule: ribosomal RNA, 435 nt
Filed under: uncultured bacterium
Lineage: Bacteria
Description: partial 16S ribosomal RNA
Rfam family: Bacterial small subunit ribosomal RNA
Source: RNAcentral
AGCGAACGCUGGCGGCAGGCUUAACACAUGCGAGUCGAGCGGGCAUCUUCGGAUGUCAGCGGCAGACGGGUGAGUAACACGUGGGAACGUACCCUUCGGUUCGGAACAACUCUGGGAAACUGGAGCUAAUACCGGAUAAGCCCUUAUGGGGAAAGGUUUACUGUCGAAGGAUCGGCCCGCGUAUGAUUAGCUUGCUGGAGGGGUAACGGCCUACCAAGGCGACGAUCAGUAGCUGGUCUGAGAGGAUGAUCAGCCACACUGGGACUGAGACACGGCCCAGACUCCUGCGGGUGGCAGCAGUGGGGAAUAUUGGACAAUGGGCGCAAGCCUGAUCCAUCCAUGCCGCGUGAGUGAUGAAGGCCUUAGGGUUGUAAAGCUCUUUUGUCCGGGACGAUAAUGACGGUACCGUAAGAAUAAGCCCCGGCUAACUUCGUG